GCCAUUUUUCCAUGUAAAAAUGAACUGUUAUAGGGACCAUCUUUUGAAUUUAUGAUAAUUUAUUCAUAUUUUAAUGUACUCGGGUAGGUAAUAUUGCAGGCAUUAUAUCAGCACCAAAUAAAUGCUGUGAACCAGAUAUAUAUUAAGUGGCGAAUAACGUUUCCAAAUCGCAUUUUCUUUUGACAUAUUUUUCUUUUUUUUUGCUCUUUUUUUCACGACCGGUUUGGCCUAGUAAGUCGAUGAUCCUGGGUUUGAAUCCCGGUAAGGGCAUUUAUUUGUGUGAUGAGCACAGAUAUUUGUUCCUGAGUCAUGGAUGUUUUCUAUGUAUUUAAGUAUUUGUAUAUUAUAUAUUAUUAUGUCGUUGUAUGAGUACUCACAAAACAAGCCUUCUCGGCUUGCCGUGGGACUCACUUAAUUUGUGUAAGUAUGUCCCUAUAAUAUUUAUUUAUUGUUAUUAUUAUUGUAUGUCCGGUAACAGAACUCCCCAGGAGCACUCGGGUGUGUAAGGUCGCUACUCCCCAACUUAUUAUAAUUGUUAUUACUUACAGCAUUUUUAAGUUGUUCAUCGGACACUGAGGCCAUUGAAGUUUCAAGCUGGCGGCAUCAAAAUGGAGUACCUAGAAACCAUACGGAAAUAAUGAGGAUGCAUCGACAUAAGAAGAAUCGAACAUGGGCAAGAUAAAGUUCAAGAAAAAAGCAAAUAUAAUGUGUACUUGUGUGUAGUCAAAGAAAGUUGAAAAAUAAAGCAUAAUUAAUGGCCAUAGAAUACAGAACCGAUACACGAACAUUAAGACUAUUAAAAAUAGACAUAUAGGUUGAUCGUACUACUCGUACUAAUGUAUUUCUUUUGUUCAAUUAUAUUAUUGCAUUAAAGUUAGAUUCUCUAGAUAUAUAU
Molecule: long non-coding RNA, 895 nt
Organism: Cydia pomonella (codling moth)
Lineage: Eukaryota; Metazoa; Arthropoda; Insecta; Lepidoptera; Tortricidae
Exons: 2
Source: RefSeq, a predicted model, not a curated record